Molecule: ribosomal RNA, 467 nt
Filed under: uncultured bacterium
Lineage: Bacteria
Description: partial 16S ribosomal RNA
Rfam family: Bacterial small subunit ribosomal RNA
Source: RNAcentral
GACGAACGCUGGCGGCGUGCUUAACACAUGCCAGUCGAACGAUGACGACCGAGCUUGCUCGGUCUGAUUAGUGGCGAACGGGUGAGUAACACGUGAGCAACCUGCCCUUCACUCUGGGAUAACCUCGGGAAAUCGGGGCUAAUACCGGAGAUGAGCUCCUGUCGCAUGGCGGGUGUUGGAAAGUUUUUCGGUUAAGGAUGGGCUCGCGUCCUAUCAGUUUGUUGGUGAGGUAGUGGCUCACCAAGGCGAUGACGGGUAGCCGGCCUGAGAGGGCGACCGGCCACACUGGGACUGAGACACGGCCCAGACUCCUACGGGAGGCAGCAGUGGAGAAUAUUGCAGAAUGGGCGAAAGCCUGAUGCAGCGACGCCGCGUGAGGGAUGACGGCCCUCGGGUUGUAAACCUCUUUCAGCAGGGAAGAAGCGAAAGUGACGGUACCUGCAGAAGAAGCGCCGGCUAACUACGUG